GCAUUGGUGGCUCAACAGUAGAGUUUUUGCCUCCCAUGCAGGAGACCUGGGUUUGAUUCCCGGCCAAUGUA
RNAcentral lists this transfer RNA (71 nucleotides) under Loxodonta africana (African savanna elephant). It matches the Rfam family "tRNA". Rfam says of the family: Transfer RNA (tRNA) molecules are approximately 80 nucleotides in length. Their secondary structure includes four short double-helical elements and three loops (D, anti-codon, and T loops). Lineage: Eukaryota; Metazoa; Chordata; Mammalia; Proboscidea; Elephantidae. The record is from Rfam by way of RNAcentral.